Molecule: ribosomal RNA, 494 nt
Filed under: uncultured bacterium
Lineage: Bacteria
Description: partial 16S ribosomal RNA
Rfam family: Bacterial small subunit ribosomal RNA
Source: RNAcentral
GACGAACGCUGGCGGCGUGCUUAACACAUGCCAGUCGAACGGUGAAGCGCCUUCCUUUUUGGUGGGUGUGGAUGAGUGGCGAACGGGUGAGUAACACGUGAGUAACCUGCCCCCUUCUUCUGGAUAACCGCAUGAAAGUGUGGCUAAUACGGGAUAUUCUGGGUCUGUCGCAUGAUGGGUCUGGGAAAGAUAUUGUUUCGGUGGGGGAUGGGCUCGCGGCCUAUCAGCUUGUUGGUGGGGUGAUGGCCUACCAAGGCGGUGACGGGUAGCCGGCCUGAGAGGGUGGACGGUCACACUGGGACUGAGACACGGCCCAGACUGCGACGGGAGGCAGCAGUGGGGAAUAUGGCACAAUGGGCGAAAGCCUGAUGCAGCGACGCCGCGUGAGGGAUGGAGGCCUUCGGGUUGUGAACCUCUUUCGCCAGUGAAGCAGGCCUGCCUCGUUUGUGGGUGGGUCGACGGUAGCUGGAGAAGAAGCGCCGGCUAACUACGUG